UGCAAWAACAGGUCKGUGAUGCCCUUAGAUGUCCUGGGCCGCACGCGCGCUACACUGAAGGUAUCAAAGUGUGUUUUCCUAGCCUGAGAAGGCCGGGUAACCCGCUGAAACCCCUUCGUGCUUGGGAUUGGGGCUUGCAAUUAUUCCCCACCAACGAGGAAYGCCCAGUAAACGUGAGUCAUAAUCUCGCGUUGAUUACAUCCCUGCCCUUUGUCCACACCGCCCGUCGCUACUACCGAUUGAAUGAUUUAGUGAGGUCUUCGGACUGAGACUCGAUCUCCUUCACGGGAGAUUGGUGAACUCGGGAAGAUGACCGAACUUGAUCAUUUAGAGGAAGUAAAAGUCGUAACAAGGUUUCCGUAGGUGAACCUGCGGAAGGAUCA
Molecule: ribosomal RNA, 383 nt
Filed under: Caconemobius sp. MCJ-2002
Lineage: Eukaryota; Metazoa; Arthropoda; Insecta; Orthoptera; Trigonidiidae
Description: bacterial SSU rRNA
Rfam family: Eukaryotic small subunit ribosomal RNA
Source: RNAcentral